Molecule: transfer RNA, 73 nt
Filed under: Candidatus Kuenenbacteria bacterium CG10_big_fil_rev_8_21_14_0_10_36_11
Lineage: Bacteria; Candidatus Kueneniibacteriota
Also listed under: 1 other name
Description: tRNA-Thr
Rfam family: tRNA
About the family: Transfer RNA (tRNA) molecules are approximately 80 nucleotides in length. Their secondary structure includes four short double-helical elements and three loops (D, anti-codon, and T loops).
Source: RNAcentral
GCCGACUUAGCUCAAUUGGUAGAGCGAUGGUAUCGUAAACCAUAGGUCGUCGGUUCGAUUCCGACAGUCGGCU